This 341-nucleotide ribosomal RNA is filed under the name uncultured eukaryote. RNAcentral describes it as "SSU rRNA". It matches the Rfam family "Eukaryotic small subunit ribosomal RNA", at positions 594 to 945 of the family's 1831-position model. The record is from RNAcentral.
AUAGCGUAUAUUAAAGUUGUUGCAGUUAAAAAGCUCGUAGUUGGAUUUCUGGGAGGGUGCCAAUGUCCGAUUGUUUCGUGUGCAGCGGCGCCCUUCCAUCCUUCUGUUAACGUUUCUUGGUAUUAACUUACUGGUUGCGGGCUCAGAUAUUUUACCUUGAGAAAAUUAGAGUGUUUAAGGCAGGCUUGUGCCCGAAUACAUUAGCAUGGAAUAAUAGAAUAGGACUUUGGUCUCCUUUGUUGGUUUGAGGGACUAGAGUAAUGAUUAAUAGGGACAGUUGGGGGCAUUAGUAUUUAAUUGUCAGAGGUGAAAUUCUCGGAUUUGUUAAAGACUAACUUAUG